AAAUAAGAAGCAAUAAGUGCAUUUAAUUUCGACUUAAAAAAAGAGUAUAAGAUUACUCCUUAUUUA
Molecule: transfer RNA, 66 nt
Filed under: Ophthalmitis albosignaria
Lineage: Eukaryota; Metazoa; Arthropoda; Insecta; Lepidoptera; Geometridae
Description: tRNA-Arg
Source: RNAcentral